CGCGCUCCUACUUCCGGGGCGGCUGGUUCUUCCCGUCCUCCCCACCCCGGGGACACGCUUCUAGUAGGCCAAACUCCCAGGUGACCCCCGCAAGAAACGCGGUCCGGAGAGGGUCUGGCCCCACUGCUGGGGCAAGGGCUCUAGGCGCCCGGACCCCACGCCCGCAGCCUGCGGAGAACGUGCCGACAAGGACCUGUAGGGCCCCACUCCCCCUCCUCCCUCCCUCGGCGCAGCCCGGCCCAGGGGUCUGUCCUCCCAGGCCCAGGAAAGGAGGAAACCCACUUCCGCCGCGUCCAUGAUCUCCCGCGGCUUCUCCUGACUCUUGCGGCUGGCGCUGGCGCUGGGCAUCGGGACACGGAACUGGGCAGUGGACACCACCCUCCCUCGCAGGCUUCCAGUGUUCUUUCUUGGAACCAUCUGCCAAGCUGUGAGGAAGCUCCAGAGCCAUAUGACAAGACCUGAUGGAGGAUAACUGAGGACUUUGGCCAACAACCCCAGCUGAGCUCCAGUUGGAAUGUGAAUGAGGCCAUUUUGAGUGUUCCAGCCUAUUGGAGCCCUAGCCAACACUCUACAAACUAGAACUGCCUGAUUGACCCGCAGAAUCAUAAGAAAUAAAGUAAUUUGAAGGCCUUCCCUGACUUAAAGUGGAUGCUGCUUUGGAAAGCACUGGAAAAAUGGAUCCUGUCUUUCUUAGCCAAGGACUGGUCUCUUUUCUCCAAUGUGUCCCUAACAGAGUGGUGAGGCUGGCUCUUCCCACCAGUACAGGAAGAUCAUUCCUUAAAAGAAAUAGCCAUAUGGCUUAUAAGGGACUAUAUCUUAAGACUAUGUGUCUUCUGCAGUUCUUUGCAUAGAGUCAACGUUGAAGGACAAGCAACUUCAAAUUUCCAAGCAACAAAAUUAUGUUCGGGUGGUUUUCUGAAAGCGAGAUCUUAAGAACCACCUGUAUCAGAAUCCCAUGAAGAGCUUGUUUAGUGUGCAAAUUUACAGAUUGUCCCCCCUCAGAAAUGCUCAUUUAGGAGUUCCUGUCCUUUGCGGGGACAUGGAUGAAGCUGGAAACCAUCAUUCUCAGCAAACUAACACAGGAACAGAAAACCAAACACUGCAUGUUCUCACUCAAAAGUGGGAGUUGAACAAUGAGAACACAUGGACACAGGGAGGGGAACGUCACACACCAGGGCCUGUCGGGGGUGGGAGGUAAGGGGAGGGAGAGGAUUAGGACAAAUACCUAAUGCAUGUGGGGCUUAAAACCUAGAUGAUGGGUUGAUAGGUGCAGCAAACCACCAUGGACAUGUAUACCUAUGUAACAAACUUGCAUGUUCAGUACAUGUAUCCCAGAACUUAAAGUAAAAUAUAAAACAAUAAUAAAAAGGAAAUGCUCAUUCAGGAGUUUUGGGGUGGGGGUUCAGGAGGCUGCAGCCUUAACAAUUACCUCUGGUGAUUUUGACACAGGUAGCACAGCAGCCAAACUUGGAGAGAUUUGUUCACAGCACUGCAUCACCAACCUUACUUUCUGUUAGGCCUUUAAUCACUUUUUUUUUUUUUUUUUUUUUUUUUUUCUGAGACAGGGUCUUGCUCUAUCACCCAGGCUGGAGUACAGUGGCACGAUCUUGGCUCACUGCAAUCUCUGUAUCCUGGGUUCAAGCAAUCCUCUCUGCCUUGGCCUCCUGAGUAGCUGGGACCACAGACAUGCUCCAUUAUGCCCAACUAAUUAAAAACAUUUUUUUUAGAGGCAGGCUGGUCUCGAACUCCUGAGCUCAAGCAAUCUGCCUGCCUCGGCCUCCCAAAGUGCUGGGAUUACAGGUGUGAGCCACUGCGCCCGGCCUUUUAAUCACUUUUAAACCAGCAACCCUAAUCUGCCUGUCCCUUGAAUGGAUCCGGAUAAAGGUGUGGCAAACAAGCCUCCUGUCACAGUGGGGUGUGACAGUCACGGCAUCACCCCUUCACCACAUCAUGUGCUGCCAGUCAUCACUUCUGCUGUUGCCACCAACCCUUGCGUUUCCCUUUGUCACUUCCCCCUUGCCACCACCAACGGCCACUGUCCCUCUGCUCCUCACCCUCCAUAGCUGAGUCAGAUCCAGCAUUGGGCACUUGAGGAAGAAGCCACUGUGGAAGGCGGGAUGAGGGUGUUCCCAUUCUACAUUCACAAGCCCACAGCUUGGAGAAGAAGCACACCUAAUUCUGACCCUGGCUUCUGAAGAAGCUCUGCAAACCUGGCUAGAAAGUUGGGCCUGUGGUUUGAGGUUCCUGCUGCCUUUGAUUUUACAAUGAGUGGAAAUUGAGGUUGAGUAACAGGUCUCUUGCCCAAGUAUUAAGGGCCACCACGAAGCAUACAGCAAUGAAGGCAGGAGCUGAUGACAUGUGGUUGGUUCCCCCCUCUAGGCCAAGUAUCUUUGUAUAGGGAAGGCCGACAUGGCCAUCUUCACGGUUUGGUAUUAGUGGAGUGUCUUAUACAUACUGAAAUUUGUUUUUGUUUUCAGGUGCUAAAAGGAUAAUACCAAGGAAAACUAUGGGUGGGGGCAGUGAAUGGCCAGCAUGCCUAUAAUCCCAGCACUUGAAGCCAGGAGUUCGAGACCAGCCUGGGAAACAAAGCAAGACCCUGUGUCUAAAAAAAUUUUUUUAAAAAUAAGCUGGGCAUGGUGGCACGUGCCUAUAGUCCCAGCUACUCAGCUACUCGGGAGACCAAGACAUGGAAUAAACUUGACAAGUGCUAAAGAUGCUCUUUGAUUUUUGUGUGGCAUGAGACCUCAGGCUGAAACUUCUCAUCUGAGCCAUUGAAGGGAGCCUCUCAUCUCUCCACCGAGAGGGGAGACCAGAAUGCUCUGUUUCUGGCAGGAAUCUGACACCACUUACUCCUUGGGUAGAAACUCCCCCAAGUCUGAACUAUGUGAUUGCCUGAGCCCUGCUUCUUGUUCAUUAAGACUGCUCCUCUGAAACGGAAUUGAUGAAUUUUUAGUGGCUAUUAGAAGCAUUUGGGAUCCAUAGGCAUCAGGGUUUGAUGCAUGGCCCUCAUCUCUGUGGGCUCCUGUGCAAUGAUUCUCAUCUGUCUUAGUUAGAAAGUGAAUUAAUCUUGACCUUGGCCUCAGGGGUGUGGUUCUCUGCCCUCUUACACAUCUUCAAUUCGCUUCUUUAUCAGAAGCACUUGUUUUAGGCCCAGGCUCCCCCAAUUUUAAUGACAUUUAGACAUUUGUCUUUAAGUUACAUUGCUUUGAUUUUAAUCAAAAUCUAUAUUUCUAGUAUUAUAUGUUUCCAGAAAGUUCUCAUUCUGGAUUGUAAUUUAAUUACAUGGAUCAUUAAAGCUUUGAAGGAUGCUAAUGGGCAGAAAAAAGAGACUUAACAAAACGAAAGUUAUUAUUAGGAAUUACAAAUCACUUAACAUUUCAACAUCACUCGUCGGAUGUGGGCAUUUUGUUGAAAGAGACCUUGUUUUGAACAGUGACAGUGCAGAAGACCUAUGGAAGAAACAAGCUUCCAACUUGAUUUCUAUUGUUAUGCAUGCAUAGCAAAUUAUUAAUUCUAUUCUAAUAGGGUAAUAGAUUUAGAAAUACUAUUAGCAGAAAACUUGAUGUAUUAGGCAAUACUACAUACCACAUUAGUCUAACCGCUCAACUGUAAUUUUUCAUCCAUACUUUCUUGGGAUGUAAAUAAAAUUGAUAUUAUACAAUGAAAAUAAAAUUGCCCACUAGUCUUGCUUAUUCUCUUGG
This 3701-nucleotide long non-coding RNA is filed under the name Homo sapiens (human). RNAcentral describes it as "HSALNT0040255". The record is from RNAcentral. Lineage: Eukaryota; Metazoa; Chordata; Mammalia; Primates; Hominidae.